RNAcentral lists this long non-coding RNA (451 nucleotides) under Mus musculus (house mouse). RNAcentral describes it as "predicted gene, 32004". Lineage: Eukaryota; Metazoa; Chordata; Mammalia; Rodentia; Muridae. The record is from RNAcentral.
CCCAUAGGCAGUUGGAGAUGAGCAGUGAGCAUUGGUUUGGUUUGCUCUGCCUCACUAUUCUUCAAUAACAACAGACCCAUUGUUAUUGGAGACUGAUGACGUCAGAAGUUUUGGCCAGCUGUAAGUUCUCACACAUAGCCUUUGAUUUCAAAGAAGAAGAAUAAAAGGAUAAUCUGACAGAUCCAAGCCUCUUUGGAGAUAAUGGCUGACUCCUGGUUUGGAGUAAAGCCAAUGUAAGGAAUCCAUCAUUCAUUGACACCUGGCACACAGCAAGUACUAUGGGUAACAACAAACAUGAGGAGAAUAAGCACACAGAUGUGUAUGUUUAUCAGUUAUACUCUCAGCGACAAGCAAUGAGUGUUCUGAAGUGGAGCACUCCAGCUGGGCACUGCUCCUAACUGCGCUACCCCAAGAAAACGCACUGAGAGAAAACAGUAACAUACAGAGCGGA